This 402-nucleotide ribosomal RNA is filed under the name uncultured prokaryote. RNAcentral's name for it is "bacterial SSU rRNA". It matches the Rfam family "Bacterial small subunit ribosomal RNA", at positions 355 to 774 of the family's 1533-position model. The record is from RNAcentral.
UGGGGAAUCUUGGACAAUGGGGGAAACCCUGAUCCAGCCAUGCCGCGUGAUCGAUGAAGGCCUUAGGGUUGUAAAGAUCUUUCAGCUGGGAAGAUAAUGACGGUACCAGCAGAAGAAGCCCCGGCUAACUCCGUGCCAGCAGCCGCGGUAAUACGGAGGGGGCUAGCGUUGUUCGGAAUUACUGGGCGUAAAGCGCACGUAGGCGGAUAGUUAAGUCAGAGGUGAAAUCCCGGGGCUCAACCCCGGAACUGCCUUUGAUACUGGCUGUCUCGAGGUCGAGAGAGGUGAGUGGAAUUCCGAGUGUAGAGGUGAAAUUCGUAGAUAUUCGGAGGAACACCAGUGGCGAAGGCGGCUCACUGGCUCGAUACUGACGCUGAGGUGCGAAAGCGUGGGGAGCAAACA